AUGGCCUCUCGCCGGCGUCCUAGUCCUACCACUCUAGUCUUCCUGGUGUUGCUAUACCUCUACUACGCGCCGAGCUGCGCCUUCUCGCUCUCCUUCAACCUCAACUUCUCCGACCCCAGCGCCGGUUCAUCCAUCGCCGUCGCCGGCGAUGCAUUCAUCAGUCCGUCAACGCUCGAGCUGACGAAAAACACACGUAGUACGGGUAUUCAGAACAGCGUCGGCCGGGCGUCCUACGCGCACAAAGUGCCGUUGUGGAGCAACAGCACCAGCGAGAUGGCUAGCUUCACCACCACCUUCGCCUUCCAAAUCACUCCGGACAAGGACAGCCUGCCGCUGACAGGCGAUGGGAUGGCCUUCUUCCUCGGCCAUUUCCCUUCGGUGAUCCCGCGGGACAGCUACGGCGGCAGCCUCGGCCUCCUCCUCACCAACACUAACGGGACAGGCGACGGUCGAAUCGUGGCCGUCGAGUUCGACACUUUCUUCAACACGCGAUAUGGAGAUAUCAACGGGAACCAUGUCGGCAUCGACAUCAACUCUGUCAACUCCACGGCGUCCACGAGAACGACGAGACCGGGCAAGAACCUCACGUCGCUCCAUGUUAUGGAAGCCACCAUCAAGUACCAGAAUGACUCCAAGAUGCUGGCCCUUGACCUCCUCAUCGACGAUGUCUUGUACCAGCUCAUUGCAACCGUCGAUCUGAGAAGAUACUUACCGGAGGAGGUCGCCGUGGGCUUCUCUGCGGCGACCGGCGACAUCGCCGAGUUGCACCAGAUACUGUCAUGGUCAUUCAGUUCCACUUUGCAGCUUGAAUCAAAGAAGGAAGCAGCUCCACCUGCUCAACCUCUUCCGAUUCCAAGUUUUCCAAGCACCAGCAGCAAAAACCACAAAACGUUGGUACCAAUCCUUGUAUCCGUACUAGUUCCUCUGCUUUUUUUGGUGGUCUGUGUCGCGGUGGUGCUGGGAUGGAGGCGACACAAAAAAAGAAGAGCAAAUGAGGACAGCGAAGAAGAGUGUGACGACAGAGCUGACCUCGAGAGAGGUGUGGCUGCCGGCGGCCCCAGACGGUACGUGUACCAUGAGCUGGUCGCCGCAACAAACAACUUCGCGGAGGAGGAGAAGCUCGGGCGAGGCGGCUUCGGGAGCGUUUACCGGGGUCACCUCAUACUCACACUCGCAGGCGCCGUCGGAGGUGACCAAGACCGUCGAGAGGUGGCGGUAAAGGUGCUGUCAGCAGAGUCGUCGUCGCAGGGGGAGGAAGGAGUUCGAGGCAGAGGUGAGGAUCAUCAGCAGACUCAAGCAUCGCAACCUUGUCCAAUUGUUGGGUUGGUGCGACAGCCGUAA
RNAcentral lists this ribosomal RNA (1341 nucleotides) under Triticum aestivum (bread wheat). RNAcentral's name for it is "partial small subunit ribosomal RNA". The record is from RNAcentral. Lineage: Eukaryota; Viridiplantae; Streptophyta; Magnoliopsida; Poales; Poaceae.